AGAGUUUGAUCAUGGCUCAGAACGAACGCUGGCGGCAUGCCUAACACAUGCAAGUCGAACGAGCCCUUCGGGGUUAGUGGCGCACGGGUGCGUAACGCGUGGGAAUCUGCCCUUCGGUUCGGAAUAACAGUUAGAAAUGACUGCUAAUACCGGAUGAUGACGAAAGUCCAAAGAUUUAUCGCCGAGGGAUGAGCCCGCGUAGGAUUAGGUAGUUGGUGGGGUAAAGGCCUACCAAGCCGACGAUCCUUAGCUGGUCUGAGAGGAUGAUCAGCCACACUGGGACUGAGACACGGCCCAGACUCCUACGGGAGGCAGCUGUGGGGAAUAUUGGACAAUGGGCGAAAGCCUGAUCCAGCAAUGCCGCGUGAGUGAUGAAGGCCUUAGGGUUGUAAAGCUCUUUUACCAGGGAUGAUAAUGACAGUACCUGGAGAAUAAGCUCCGGCUAACUCCGUGCCAGCAGCCGCGGUAAUACGGAGGGAGCUAGCGUUGUUCGGAAUUACUGGGCGNAAAGCGCACGUAGGCGGUUAUUCAAGUCAGAGGUGAAACUCCCGGGGCUCAACCCCGGAACUGCCUUUGAAACUAGAUAACUAGAAUCUUGGAGAGGUCAGUGGAAUUCCGAGUGUAGAGGUGAAAUUCGUAGAUAUUCGGAAGAACACCAGUGGCGAAGGCGACUGACUGGACAAGUAUGACGCUGAGGGGCGAAAGC
Molecule: ribosomal RNA, 706 nt
Filed under: uncultured bacterium
Lineage: Bacteria
Description: bacterial SSU rRNA
Rfam family: Bacterial small subunit ribosomal RNA
Source: RNAcentral